GGAAUAUUGGGCAAUGCCCGGAAGGGUGACCCAGCAACGCCGCGUGGAGGAUGAAGGCCGUAAGGUUGUAAACUCCUGUUAGAGGGGAAGAAAAAUCCCGAUCGACUCGGGACCUGACUGUACCCUCAGAGGAAGCCCCGGCUACCUACGUGCCAGCAGCCGCGGUAAUACGUAGGGGGCAAGCGUUGUCCGGAUUCACUGGGUGUAAAGGGCGCGCAGGCGGGUUGGCAAGUCAGAGGUGAAAUCCUACAGCUUAACUGUAGAACUGCCUUUGAGACUGCUAAUCUUGAGUAUGGAAGAGAGAGAUGGAAUUCCAGGUGUAGUGGUGAAAUACGUAGAUAUCUGGAAGAACACCAGUGGCGAAGGCGAUCUCUUGUUCCUUUACUGACGCUAAGGCGCGAAAGCGUGGGGAGCAAAC
This 418-nucleotide ribosomal RNA is filed under the name uncultured bacterium. Its description in RNAcentral is "bacterial SSU rRNA". It matches the Rfam family "Bacterial small subunit ribosomal RNA", at positions 358 to 773 of the family's 1533-position model. The record is from RNAcentral.